GAUGGCGUGUUUUUCUGCGGGUCUAUUUUCGGUGUGGAAGUGGGAGGGGUCAUAGUAGAGUGGAGCUCCCAUUGACGGGAGGCAUGCAAAAAAUACUAAUGUUAGUAGUAGUGGGAGAUAAUUAGGAUGGGUUAUUUUACUACAACCCCGCCUAAAAAUAUCGCAACACGUCCAGAUCCGAGAACCAUUAUCCACCCCCUUAGAAGUGUCUCAUAAAACUAAAUGAAUUCACCUGCUUUUGCACAAACAACACACCUGCUUUUUUGGAACACAUUUGCACGAAAAACGCUGUUAAUGACACGAUUUUUUUUGUUUUGUUUUGUUUUGUUUUUUUUUGCAGCGAUUUCAAGCAAAUGCAGGGAGAAAUGCAAAGCUCAUCGGUGCUGCUGCAGUUUACCUCGAUCUGUCUUGCGGGGGCACUGACAGCUCUGAGUCGGCUGGAACAGGUGAAUUCAACCGGCACACACGCCUUUUAAUGAUUAUAACUGCGUGUAGAUGCGUGGCUUGGCGUGCACCGCAGUUAAAAGACACGAGAAAUGAUGUGUGCGUCCCUGACCGUGUCAUGUAGCUCGGGGUUUUUUUUGAGGUUGGGAAAGAUUGGCACCAAUUAACUACAGGAAGGAAGUAAUUAAAGGAAUCAGAUGGGUACCGCAGUUUGGAUGGAGGUGGCGGUGCCCUCCUCUCUCCUCCUCUCCGCUGAUGAGGGCUGGGGAGGCGGCGGGGGGGCAUUGAGCGGGCUCGGGGCGCCCUCUGCUGGUCGAAGCGCUCCACGCAGCAGCGGGACCGCAGCCAGAGUGCCUGGAGACACAGAGGGAAGCUUUGAGACCGACUGGCAUCAUUUCCUCUGAUAAGUGGAGACCGAAGGUGCUGGGGAGAGCUGUAUUUGUAGCUGGAUUCCCUGUCGGCUGCGCUGCUGCUGCUCCUGCAUACAACCCCAGUGUCUAUGCAGGGGCCAACCAAGCCUUCCCUAGUGGCUAUGCUCGGGGCACUCCUUUCAAAAUGUCCUGCUCUCCCAACACCAACCAGUCAGGAGCACCUAUCCCCAACAGAGCCCCUACGCACAGCACAGUGUACUGCGGUUGAAGCGCUGCAGAUUUUAGCUCUUGGUUCUCGUGUCUUACCCACAUCUGCCUGAGGAUGGUGCUAUAAUUUAAGGCGUUAAUACCGUCACAACAACAACAAGGGAUCUAUUACACACAGCCUCUGUAUGCAGAACGGCCUCAUGUUACCCAUCACACAGCUGCGGUCCAGCCAAAUGGGACGCCUGCCGCCAUGUACGUCCCACUCAUCCCUCCACCCCGCCACAAUGGUGUCGCCAUGGGGAUGGUAGCUGGCACCAGCAUGGCCAUGUCCGCUGGUGAGAAUCGGUUUCCAUUUCUACAUUUAUCGUGUUUUGGAUGGACGCCAAAUUUAUAGUUGUAACUCCAUAUUAGGGGAUCAGUCCACCAUCAGCUUUUUCCUGCUCCUUUUGUUGUUGUACUGUACUGUUGUUUUUAAAUCGACCAAUAAAAAUUCAGCAUCAGUCAACCUCAAGUAGUAACUGGGAUUAAAGUGCAAGAAAUGC
This is an RNA transcript of Acanthopagrus latus (yellowfin seabream), 1564 nucleotides long. It is a transcript of the gene named myelin-associated neurite-outgrowth inhibitor-like, with no coding region annotated. The transcript is spliced from 5 exons. Lineage: Eukaryota; Metazoa; Chordata; Actinopteri; Spariformes; Sparidae. The record is from RefSeq and is a predicted model, not a curated record.